RNAcentral lists this ribosomal RNA (510 nucleotides) under uncultured bacterium. RNAcentral's name for it is "partial 16S ribosomal RNA". It matches the Rfam family "Bacterial small subunit ribosomal RNA", at positions 28 to 507 of the family's 1533-position model. The record is from RNAcentral.
GACGAACGCUGGCGGCGUGCUUAACACAUGCAAGUCGAACGAAGAGCGAUGGAAGCUUGCUUCUAUCAAUCUUAGUGGCGAACGGGUGAGUAACGCGUAAUCAACCUGCCCUUCAGAGGGGGACAACAGUUGGAAACGACUGCUAAUACCGCAUACGAUCUAAUCUCGGCAUCGAGGAUAGAUGAAAGGUGGCCUCUACAUGUAAGCUAUCACUGAAGGAGGGGAUUGCGUCUGAUUAGCUAGGUGGAGGGGUAACGGCCCACCAAGGCGAUGAUCAGUAGCCGGUCUGAGAGGAUGGACGGCCACAUUGGGACUGAGACACGGCCCAGACUCCUACGGGAGGCAGCAGUGGGGAAUCUUCCGCAAUGGACGGAAGUCUGACGGAGCAACGCCGCGUGAGUGAUGACGGCCUUCGGGUUGUAAAGCUCUGUUAAUCGGGACGAAAGGCCUUCUUGCGAAUAGUGAGAAGGAUUGACGGUACCGGAAUAGAAAGCCACGGCUAACUACGUG